Molecule: ribosomal RNA, 460 nt
Filed under: uncultured bacterium
Lineage: Bacteria
Description: partial 16S ribosomal RNA
Rfam family: Bacterial small subunit ribosomal RNA
Source: RNAcentral
CCUACGGGUGGCAGCAGUGAGGAAUAUUGGUCAAUGGACGAGAGUCUGAACCAGCCAAGCAGCGUGAAGGAUGACUGCUCUAUGGGUUGUAAACUUCUUUUAUACGGGAAUAAAAUCUUCUACGCGUGGGAUUCUGUAUGUACCAUACGAAUAAGGAUCGGCUAACUCCGUGCCAGCAGCCGCGGUAAUACGGAGGAUUCGAGCGUUAUCCGGAUUUAUUGGGUUUAAAGGGUGCGUAGGCGGUUGGUUAAGUCAGUUGUGAAAGCUUGCGGCUCAACCGUGAAAUUGCAGUUGAAACUGGCAGUCUUGAGUACAGUAGAGGUAGGCGGAAUGCGUGGUGUAGCGGUGAAAUGCUUAGAUAUCACGCAGAACUCCGAUUGCGAAGGCAGCUCACUGGGCUACAACUGACGCUGAGGCACGAAAGUGUGGGUAUCAAACAGGAUUAGAUACCCGUGUAGUC